GUCGAAACCACUAAAGAGGGUAUGUACGACAAGAUUGGGUGAAAUAUAAUUAUGCUCAACUCUAUUAGCCGGAACCCCUGAGGUAGUUUGUACGGCUGAAUUCAUAGCUCAAAAGUCAAUCUGGCAGAAGUCACUACAAUGACCUAUACGGCAAUAUACUGCACAUAAGUCGAAACCACUAAAGAGGGUCUGUAUGACAAGAUUGGGUGAAAUAUAAUUAUGCUCAACUCUAUUAUCUCAUAAUAGUUGGUCGAUGAAUCGCUAGUCACUUACGAGUCAGAACCGUGAAUAAGGUCUGUACGACAAGACUAUGCACUUAAGUUGGAUCCAAUAUGAGCAUAUAGUACGGGAGGUGACGUAAAUAAACAGGCAUGUACCUCAUAUCUCUGGCUAAUUCACAAUCACUCUAGGUGCAGCUUUAUGAGCUCAACAUUACUUAAUCACAUAUCACAUAUCACAUAUCACAUCAUCGAUGAUUCACACAACCAAACAUAACUUAUUGAACUCACCUGUGCCUUCACAGCACCACAUUUAUAUAUAUAUGCAACCAUGCAAUGCAUAUUCAAAAUAUAGAAGCAUUUGGCAUAUUAUUUCAAAGCAUACUUUCCUUAAAAAUGCAUUUCUGGGAAAUAUAUCAAGUAUAUAAAUAUAUACUGAAAACAAAAGCCCACUCACUGGUAUGUCGAAGGGUCGUAGCCCCCGAGUCACCUGUGGAUACGCUCAUCCUAGGGAUAAGUCUCACCUAUAAGCAAAUUAACUAUAAAAACGUUGUUUUAAAGUACAUAAGCAAAACUAGCUAAUAACUUCUCAUACAUUGCUCAAUUUGGGUAUAUGAAUAUACCACAGUGAUCUACACAACCUCACGAACAUUGUGAUAUUUUUAGAAAAAAAAUUCUAUGGCUCAUGUGCCCUCAUGUGCCGGGGAGGGCACGGCCUCACGUGUUGCCCACGCGCAUCGUCUUCAACCUCCAGACGCCUGAAUAGUGUCGCCGACGCCGGAUUCUGGGUAGACCUGCAAUUGCCUUUUUCUCACUCGUUUUUGCACCAUUUUCAUGCAAUUUAUACCAAAAUGAAGCUCUUAACUUGUAGAACAUGAUUAUACUAAUUUAAAGCUCUAAAAGUCACGGGAUCUCACCGGAGAAUUCCAAGAAAAUCAGCCAAACUUCGUCCACACGAUCCCGACGUCCAAAACCUUCAAACGAAGCAUUCUAAGCUUCCUUGGGACCUCACUAAGCUUGCUAUGAGCUUGGAUUGUCCUAAAACAUAACCAUUUAAAAGUUCGUGAAUAGUGCUUAACUCGGAGCUUGAAUUUUUAACGUGAUAUCGAACGAGUUCUUACCUGAAAUGGGUACCUUUAAACUCGUAUGAUCCUCACGAACACAAUGGUACUAAUUUUGGCCACGAUCCAUGAAGUUUCAAGGGUCUUGGGUGCUUGUUCGCCCCAUUUCGAAUGAGAGAAAGUGAAACCGAGAGAGAGAGCACGGGAGAGUGAGAGAGAGAGACAGGAUUUGUGGUCCAGAUUUUUGGGUCACCAAUCAAAACAACCCAUUUUCCUUACUUCCAAUUGGUUCCAAAAUAAUAGGACCUUAACACAUUGGUCCUCAACCACACAUAGUCCCAUAAUGCCACAAACGCUCAAGGGCAUUUUAGUCUUUUCACAUCAACGAUAACAAAAUAAUGUACAUUUCCGGGACGGGUUGUGACAGGCACGCUUAACCUUGACCAUUUCACAGUUUUACUGCUAUAGGACUUAGUCUAAUUAGAGAUUUCUUGGACUAAAAGCCCACUGGCCUAAGGAAUUAUUACUGGGCUGAGAAUUAUAGCUUUUCAACUUGGGUUACUCGUUCUUGGCACAAACCUUUAUUUCAGGCUCAAACAAUGUGAAACUGUAAUUUGUCUGCAAUAGAAAAUGUGUGAAACCCCACCCCCAUUAUUAAUUUUUAAAUUCAUUUUGUCCCUGAAAGUUUAUAAAAAUAUGCAAUUUGGUCCCCUAUCCUAAUUUAAUCCAGACCUUUCAUCUAGAUUUCCUUUCUCCCCCACGCUGCCACGUGGCACCACCUUAACUUAUCCCCUAUCUCUCUCUUUCCCUAAUCUCUGUCUUCUCUCUCUUGUACUCAUGCUCCCCUUUUCCCAGCAACACCACACCCACACACACCUACACUGUCACCUAGA
RNAcentral lists this long non-coding RNA (2172 nucleotides) under Malus domestica (apple). RNAcentral's name for it is "long non-coding RNA (MDOM_LNC013732)". The record is from RNAcentral. Lineage: Eukaryota; Viridiplantae; Streptophyta; Magnoliopsida; Rosales; Rosaceae.